Molecule: unclassified non-coding RNA, 348 nt
Filed under: soil metagenome
Description: partial contains 5.8S ribosomal RNA, internal transcribed spacer 2, and large subunit ribosomal RNA
Rfam family: 5.8S ribosomal RNA (bases 1-120)
Source: RNAcentral
GAUGAAGAACGCAGCGAAAUGCGAUAAGUAGUGUGAAUUGCAGAAUUCAGUGAAUCAUCGAAUCUUUGAACGCACAUUGCGCCCCCUGGUAUUCCGGGGGGCAUGCCUGUCCGAGCGUCAUUGCUGCCCUCAAGCACGGCUUGUGUGUUGGGCCCCGCCCCCCGGCUCCCGGGGGGCGGGCCCGAAAGGCAGCGGCGGCACCGCGUCCGGUCCUCGAGCGUAUGGGGCUUCGUCACCCGCUCCGUAGGCCCGGCCGGCGCCCGCCGGCGACCCCCCUCAAUCUUUUCAGGUUGACCUCGGAUCAGGUAGGGAUACCCGCUGAACUUAAGCAUAUCAAUAAGCGGAGGA